Molecule: long non-coding RNA, 855 nt
Organism: Mastomys coucha (southern multimammate mouse)
Lineage: Eukaryota; Metazoa; Chordata; Mammalia; Rodentia; Muridae
Exons: 2
Source: RefSeq, a predicted model, not a curated record
GGCCCAGACACAGUGAAACCUGUGAUCUUAGGUACAAAUGUUAUUUUACUUAGCCAUCACAAGGAGAGGCAUAGAGUGUUACCAUCUUAUGAUUGAGGCAGCACCAGGGGACAGAGAAACUCAAGAGCUUUGGAACGUAGCAGUAGAUGCCUGUGAAACCUGGAGCAAACAAGGCCAAGGAAAGAUUGAAGCGCCGGAGGCUGACGAAUGAAGAAAGAGACAGCAGCCCUAAAUCCAAGCAAUAAAUGAACCCUUGCUACUGAGGAAUGAAUGGAACGAGGACUUUCGGAGGGAAAGGGCGUGUCCUGCCUGCCACAAUCCCUCUUCUGAGAGUCAGAUGUCGGGUAGCAGCGCUCAGCAGCGCCACCUGCAGGAGAGACCGCACACUUCCACACCGUCGAUCAUCCUCGCUAUCCUCAUUGAGAACAAGCCUUUGACUGAGGGCGACUCUCUCGGAAGCCCAAGUACUGCUGCACCGCAAACACCCUGAAAUCCAAGUUUCUCCUUUUCUGGGAGCUUCCAUACCACAUACCUGUCCCCAGCCUAGGCACUCGCUCAAAGGUUCCCCAAUUAUCUCUCGUGAUGGAAUGGUCCCGCUGCCUCUUGUUUCCAAAUCCAUCCUUGUCAAACCUCGACUGCAUCUUCUCCCAGCUGUGUGAAAGCUGAGUGCCAAGGCCCUCCGCAAACCGUGGUUCCAGGCAGGAGCAACAACCAUCCCCCUAAAAUCCAGAAGGAGAACCUGCUGUUCACAGGGCAGUUUGAAUUCAAACCAGAACAGAGACCCCAGGAGCAACUUAUAUUCAGCGCCCCCCUUAAAUAAAAAAAAUAAAAUGGUUCUGGGGGGAUAUCACGUGA